RNAcentral lists this transfer RNA (78 nucleotides) under Candidatus Thorarchaeota archaeon. RNAcentral's name for it is "tRNA-Val". It matches the Rfam family "tRNA". Rfam says of the family: Transfer RNA (tRNA) molecules are approximately 80 nucleotides in length. Their secondary structure includes four short double-helical elements and three loops (D, anti-codon, and T loops). The record is from RNAcentral. Lineage: Archaea; Promethearchaeati; Candidatus Thorarchaeota.
GGGGCGGUAGUCUAGCUCGGCUAUGAUGUCUCGCUUACAUCUCGAUGGUCGCUGGUUCAAAUCCGGCCCGCCCCACCA